This 125-nucleotide small RNA is filed under the name Marmota monax (woodchuck). The record is from RNAcentral. Lineage: Eukaryota; Metazoa; Chordata; Mammalia; Rodentia; Sciuridae.
GUUGGGCGUGGUGGCGUACACCUGUAAUCCCAGUCACUUGUGAGGCUGAGGCAGGAGGAUUACAAAUUCAAAGCCAGACUCAGUAAAAGUGACACACUAAGCAACUCAGUGAGACCCUGUCUCAA